GGUAAUACAGAGGGUGCAAGCGUUAAUCGGAAUUACUGGGCGUAAAGCGCGCGUAGGUGGUUUGUUAAGUUGAAUGUGAAAUCCCCGGGCUCAACCUGGGAACUGCAUCCAAACUGGCAAGCUAGAGUAGGGUAGAGGGUGGUGGAAUUUCCUGUGUAGCGGUGAAAUGCGUAGAUAUAGGAAGGAACACCAGUGGCGAAGGCGACCACCUGGACUCAUACUGACACUGAGGUGCGAAAGCGUGGGGAGCAAACAGG
This 257-nucleotide ribosomal RNA is filed under the name uncultured Pseudomonas sp. Its description in RNAcentral is "partial 16S ribosomal RNA". It matches the Rfam family "Bacterial small subunit ribosomal RNA", at positions 519 to 776 of the family's 1533-position model. Lineage: Bacteria; Pseudomonadati; Pseudomonadota; Gammaproteobacteria; Pseudomonadales; Pseudomonadaceae. The record is from RNAcentral.